GUGCCAGCCGCCGCGGUAAUACAGGGGGUGCAAGCGUUAUUCGGAAUUAUUGGGCGUAAAGAGCGUGUAGGCGGCCAAGCAAGUUUGGUGUGAAAGCCCCGGGCUUAAUCCGGGAAGUGCAUUGAAUACUGCUAGGCUAGAGUAUAGGAGAGGAUGGCGGAAUUCCUGGUGUAGAGGUGAAAUUCGUAGAUAUCAGGAGGAACAACAGAGGCGAAGGCGGCCAUCUGGACUAUUACUGACGCUAAGGCGCGAAAGUGUGGGGAGCAAACAGGAUUAGAAACCCUUGUAGUCC
This 292-nucleotide ribosomal RNA is filed under the name uncultured bacterium. RNAcentral's name for it is "partial 16S ribosomal RNA". It matches the Rfam family "Bacterial small subunit ribosomal RNA", at positions 505 to 796 of the family's 1533-position model. The record is from RNAcentral.